RNAcentral lists this long non-coding RNA (451 nucleotides) under Equus asinus (donkey). RNAcentral describes it as "lncRNA (ENSEASG00005033204.1)". The record is from RNAcentral. Lineage: Eukaryota; Metazoa; Chordata; Mammalia; Perissodactyla; Equidae.
CUGACAAAUAUCCUCUGAGUAAAACUAAGGAAGGACGUCAGCUAUCAUCAGGGGGACUUGUGUGCCCCAGAGCCUACAGGGUGCUCAGGGACUGCAAGAAGAUCUUCCUUCCAGAAACAUUCAGUGGCACCUCCCCUUCUCCGACACUCUGCCGGGCCAUGGAAUUGCAGAGAAGAACGGGAGGGGGCCCUUGCCCUGAAGAACUCACAGACUCAACGGCUCCUUUGAUGAAGUAAUCAAUGUCCAAGUUGCUUUGCCCAGGCCAGCAAGAUCUUGCCCAGGACAAGAUCAGAUCCCCUUUUGGAAGAUCAGCCCUGAGCUAACAUCUGCUGCCAAUCCUCCUGUUUUUGCUGAGGAAGACUGGCCCAGAGCUAACAUCCAUGCCCAUCUUCUUCUACUUUAUAUGUGGGAUGCCUGCCACAGCAUGGCUUGAAAAGUGGUGCCAUGUCCA